GAUGAACGCUGGCGGCGUGCCUAAUACAUGCAAGUCGAGCGAACGGACGAGAAGCUUGCUUCUCUGAUGUUAGCGGCGGACGGGUGAGUAACACGUGGAUAACCUACCUAUAAGACUGGGAUAACUUCGGGAAACCGGAGCUAAUACCGGAUAAUAUUUUGAACCGCAUGGUUCAAAAGUGAAAGACGGUCUUGCUGUCACUUAUAGAUGGAUCCGCGCUGCAUUAGCUAGUUGGUAAGGUAACGGCUUACCAAGGCAACGAUGCAUAGCCGACCUGAGAGGGUGAUCGGCCACACUGGAACUGAGACACGGUCCAGACUCCUACGGGAGGCAGCAGUAGGGAAUCUUCCGCAAUGGGCGAAAGCCUGACGGAGCAACGCCGCGUGAGUGAUGAAGGUCUUCGGAUCGUAAAACUCUGUUAUUAGGGAAGAACAUAUGUGUAAGUAACUGUGCACAUCUUGACGGUACCUAAUCAGAAAGCCAAGGCUAACUACGUG
Molecule: ribosomal RNA, 497 nt
Filed under: uncultured bacterium
Lineage: Bacteria
Description: partial 16S ribosomal RNA
Rfam family: Bacterial small subunit ribosomal RNA
Source: RNAcentral